GCCACAUCAGUGUGUCACGUGGCCACGUGACCAACGACAUCGUGUUGUGUGGCGGACACACCAUCAUGGGUACACUCACGUGGCUGUUUGCGUCUGCGAUCCGUGUGAGGCUGAUGUCACGACUGACAUGUGUGGGGACAGAUUGUGUGGCCAAGAUGUGUUCACGCAUGGAUCGCGAUUCGAUCCAUGGGAGUGGUUCCUGCUUAGGUGUAAUCAACAGUUGUCACACAUUCUCGCCUCAUAUUCGAAUGAACGGCUCAGAUCGCGUCCUGGUGAGGCGACCUGAUGGUUCACGUGUAAAUCCCGCAUUCUGCAUGAUCUAACAGCUCCUAACACUUUAUGCCUAAGCCGAUCCAACUGCUAGGAGCCUGUUUCAUACGGAUCACGAUUGAACGACCUGCAUGCGUGUAUAUGCAAUGAUGCAUGAUUAGACGGUUCACGUGCGAUAUGCCGAUCGUACGACCAUGAUUGUUCUUGUUUUGCAUAUCAGAUGGCUCAGAUCGCAUGUUAGGUGAACAACUUAGAUCGUGCAUAGAUAUGAUCGAACGAUUGAGAUUUUACACGUGUAAAAUGAUCAAAAUGCUUAUGACCAAAUCGACAACACAUAUCUCACCAUGGAGAUCUGAU
Molecule: long non-coding RNA, 627 nt
Filed under: Carica papaya (papaya)
Lineage: Eukaryota; Viridiplantae; Streptophyta; Magnoliopsida; Brassicales; Caricaceae
Description: long non-coding RNA (CPAP_LNC004170)
Source: RNAcentral